CGGCCCCGCACGGACGCCGGCCAGCCGCCCCGCGCUACGUCACACGCCACUCACCGGCACCACACACACACACGCACACAGACAGAGCUCCGGCGCGCGGUCCCUCCCGAGUGAGCCAGCCAGCGCCGGCAUCGGCAUGCUGCGGCCGUGGGCAGCGGCGGCGCUGCUCGUGGUGGCGGUGGCGGCGGCGUCUGUGGGCGGCGCGACGGCCCAGGCCUGUCCGCCGCGUUGCCUCUGCUUCCGGACCACCGUGCGCUGCAUGUUCCUGCAGCUCGAGACCGUGCCGCCCAUCCCCAAGGAGGCCACUGUCGUAUGACAACGCGCGACGGCAUCGAACAACUGUCCUGACGGUGCCCCCGCCUUAAUCCCAUCCAGAGCGUCAGGAGUGCCUUGAGGAGAAGUAUCAAAGCACGUUCACAUGCACCAACGACCAUCCACCAGUUGUCUACAUCGGUACUGGACGAAGGGUACGCCUUGUGAAAUGAUGCGUAAAUUCAUUGAGUUUCUGAAGAACAAUUUAAUAACUGAUAGUAACUCUGUAGCGAUGGUUCGAAACUGCUUUGUUACAUUUGUCGGAAAUAUAACAUUCAGAAACGAUUUUUGAA
Long non-coding RNA from Schistocerca nitens (vagrant locust), 605 nucleotides. RefSeq lists it as uncharacterized. NCBI's taxonomy places the organism in Eukaryota, Metazoa, Arthropoda, Insecta, Orthoptera, Acrididae. The transcript is spliced from 2 exons. The record is from RefSeq and is a predicted model, not a curated record.